CACGUAGGAGGCGAGCGUUGUCCGGAAUCAUUGGGCGUAAAGAGCGUGUAGGCGGUCCGGUAAGUCGGCUGUGAAAGUCCAGGGCUCAACCCUGGGAUGCCGGUCGAUACUGCCGGACUAGAGUUCGGAAGAGGCGAGUGGAAUUCCCGGUGUAGCGGUGAAAUGCGCAGAUAUCGGGAGGAACACCUAUGGCGAAGGCAGCUCGCUGGGACGUUACUGACGCUGAGACGCGAAAGCGUGGGGAGCAAACAGG
RNAcentral lists this ribosomal RNA (253 nucleotides) under uncultured bacterium. Its description in RNAcentral is "partial 16S ribosomal RNA". It matches the Rfam family "Bacterial small subunit ribosomal RNA", at positions 524 to 776 of the family's 1533-position model. The record is from RNAcentral.